UGACCGUUGUAGUCCACACUGCAAACCAUGACACCCAUGAAUUGGGGAACAUCAUUGGGUGCCCGUGUGGCGGCCUUUUGUGCCGACCCUCGGCCCCAAUUUAUUUAUCAAUUUACGUGCCUAUUCUAUCACCCCCGGUUCCCUCUUUUGAGGUUCUUCCGGGGUUUUUUACGGGAAUAUCCUCAGCACGUUUCUUACUUCUUCACGCGAAAGCUUGGAGGUUACAGUCUCAGGGGG
Molecule: ribosomal RNA, 237 nt
Filed under: Trypanosoma evansi
Lineage: Eukaryota; Euglenozoa; Kinetoplastea; Trypanosomatida; Trypanosomatidae
Description: partial small subunit ribosomal RNA
Source: RNAcentral